This 489-nucleotide ribosomal RNA is filed under the name uncultured bacterium. Its description in RNAcentral is "partial 16S ribosomal RNA". It matches the Rfam family "Bacterial small subunit ribosomal RNA", at positions 30 to 507 of the family's 1533-position model. The record is from RNAcentral.
AUUGAACGCUGGCGGCAGGCCUAACACAUGCAAGUCGAACGGUAACAGGAAGCAGCUUGCUGCUUUGCUGACGAGUGGCGGACGGGUGAGUAAUGUCUGGGAAACUGCCCGAUGGAGGGGGAUAACUACUGGAAACGGUAGCUAAUACCGCAUAACGUCGCAAGACCAAAGAGGGGGACCUUAGGGCCUCUUGCCAUCGGAUGUGCCCAGAUGGGAUUAGCUAGUAGGUGGGGUAACGGCUCACCUAGGCGAGGAUCCCUAGCUGGUCUGAGAGGAUGCCCAGCCCACCUGGAACUGAGAACCGUGCCAGACCCCCAGGGGGGGCACCGGGGGGGAAUAUUGCCCAAGGGGGGGAACCCUGAUGCAGCCAGGCCGGUUUGAUGAAGAGGGCCUGGGGGUUGUAAAGUACUUUCAGGGGGGAGAAAGGGAGUAAAUUUAAAACCUGUGCUCUUUACCGUUACCCGAAAAAAAAGCACCGCUAAACUCCUG